RNAcentral lists this ribosomal RNA (406 nucleotides) under uncultured bacterium. Its description in RNAcentral is "partial 16S ribosomal RNA". It matches the Rfam family "Bacterial small subunit ribosomal RNA", at positions 30 to 526 of the family's 1533-position model. The record is from RNAcentral.
AUUGAACGCUGGCGGCAGGCCUAACACAUGCAAGUCGAACGAGUGGCGGACGGUUGAGUAAUGUCUGGGAAACUGCCUGAUGGAGGGGGAUAACUACUGGAAACGGUAGCUAAUACCGCAUACCAUCGGAUGUGCCCAGAUGGGAUUGGCUAGUAGGUGGGGUAACGCCUCACCUAGGCUACGAUCCCUCGCUGGUCUGAGAGGAUGACCAGCCACACUGGAACUGAGACACGGUCCAGACUCCUACGGGAGGCAGCAGUGGGGAAUAUUGCACAAUGGACGCAAGCCUGAUGCAGCCAUGCCGCGUGUAUGAAGAAGGCCUUCGGGUUGUAAAGUACUUUCAGCGGGGAGGCGUUACCCGCAGAAGAAGCACCGGCUAACUCCGUGCCAGCAGCCGCGGUAAUUC